GUCAAAGUAAAAACAGAUCAUUCACGCAGAAUCAUUGUCAUAGCGACGACAGUGGGGGCUGGUGUGUUUUUUAGCAUCAUACUUAUCGUCUUAUUGCUAAAAUACAAACGGCGGAAGAUGGCUCCAAUGUUAUCAACGCCUGUACACGAGGCAGUUGAAACUGCACCUGAAUCUUUGCCAAUUGAACAGGUAAUUUAUCCAUGGUUAUGAUACGGUGUUGCUGAAUGGUUGUUACAUACUGUAUAUGGGCCUCCAGGGACAGUAGUUUUGAACUAAUAUAAUAGAGAUAUCCAACAUAUGGUUUAGUUUCAGUGGCGUAGCCAGCCAACCGAUUUAGUUUAAGUUUUCUGUGGUAAUACUGAACCAAUUACCAAUGGGGUUGACCGUUGUUGGAUUACAGUUCAGAACUGAUAUCCAGAGUAGAUAAAAUCAAUUUAGUAUAAGCUUCCUACUUGACUAAUCAGAAUGACCUUCACUUUCCCUAGAUAGAACAGAGCUAUCCAGUGUAAACACAUUAGUUUAUUUAGAUUUCCUCUUGUGAUAACAGCCUAAUAAUAGCAAAUGAGCGUUCUAGAUUUCGAGAGAGAACGAUUUAGAACUGAUAGAGCUACAGUAUCCUAUAUAAAUAAAGUUGGUUAAGUUUAAAAGUCUUCCUUUUGUAGUAAAACUGGAUCAGCAUAAGGCAUUGCCUAAGUUCUCUCCAUGUCUUGCUCGAAUAGGGUCCAUCCAGUCUAGACCUAGUCUCUCUCGCAGGCGUUCUUAUAGCUCUAACCCUCGCUAACUAACGUCUGCUGAAACGAGCUGCACAUUCCAUUCCCUCCGAUCGACCAAUCACAGCGAACCUUCUAUAUUUCGCAAAGUGAUUUACGGGCGGAAUAAAUAGUACAUAAAUAUUUCUAUAAUUAUUUUGAAAGCAGUCGUCGGUUGAAUUUUGGUCAAAAUUGCACCUAAAUUGAAUUUAAAGACAUUGAUACUUGUCCAGGAAAUAAAAUGCGCCAUUAAUUAUCAGAUUCGCCAUUAAUUAUUAAAGACGUUCGGUUAUAUUUAAAACGUGGACAGGAUCCGGAUGGCAUACUCGAGGGCAUACUGUAUUAAUCUAGUAGCGACAGCAUCAAAUGCAGAAUAUAUUUCGCUGAAAUUUGAACUUUUGACAGAUAUAUAUCUUUAAGAUAACAGAAAAUUUGAUAUAAUACUGUGUCUGUGGCUUAGAAAGCGAAAUAUUAGUUUCAAAGUAAACUAAUUUGCUGUUUGAGCAACGACUUCUGACUUUUGAAUGUAAACACAACACAAAUAAAACCCGAGAAACUUUUAAUUGCGGCGAUAUGAAUUUCCAGUUCGCCCAAAUUUCGAAACGUUUAUACAUGUAACUUCGCUAUACUUUUCUACAUGCAACGAGAGCUUAAUGUCAUUCGCCUGUUGCAUAGCUUUUGCUUUUUAUAUACGCCGGUUGUUUGCAGAACAUACGAGAAGAUGAUCACAAUAUUAUUCUACGUAAACAUUGUGAAGCUCAAGGCUAUAGUUUCCAAAAAUAUCUCCAGGCAAGUAAACAAAUUUCAACCCAAACAAUACAUUCCCAUGUGCAAAAGCUUUCCCCAGUAGCUAAACCCUCAAUAAGGCGGCUUCCAAUUGGCUCUAACUCUUUUGAACAUGCACUGCCAGAUGAUUGACUCCAAAACAAAAGGAAUGGAAUGUGCAGCUCGUUUCAGCAGACGUUAGUAAUUAGCGAGAGUUAGUCUAGACCCAAUUGAAAAUGAUACUGAUCUCAUAACAGGCUAGCCAGACGAUAUUAAAAAAGAAGCCAAUUCGAGCGAGACUUAGAGCAAGUCUAGGUAUUGUCUUACUUAAAAGUACCCCUAGGGAGAACUGUUUAGAAGUGGUCGAAUUUCCAGUUUAUGAAUAAAGUUAAUCUAUUUUGUGAUCGAAUUCGAUCUCCUGUGAGGUUUUUCUCCCCCAACCCCCAUAGAACACUCACGUUUAAGCCUUUGUUAUCAAGUACGUACAUAUUGAUGAGGGUAAAUUGGAGACUACACCCUAUGUAAUCUACAUUAAUAAAUCAUGAUGACAUUGUCAUUAUUAUUGAAAUAGGGACCAGGUUAUGAAAACAUCACGAUACUUGAUGGAGAGUUUUACGAUGACAUCGUGCCAACAUCCGCUGAAGGUCAGUGAUGUCAAAAAAUUUCACUAACCCCACUUUCACUAACCUGUUAGUAAAGUGCUGUUACGUUUUUCACUGUAGAAUUUUACUAACGAAAAAUAAAGAAAAAACAAUUUACAAUAUCGUUUGACAGUGAAAAAGUUGAUAAAGAUAAGGAUUUUUCAGUACCGUAAAGAUACAUUGUAAUUGUUCUCAGAAUGAUCAAAGAAUGAUUAUUGCGCGUCCUUAAUUGAGCAACAUUCUUCCAGGUGGUAAGUUUUGUACCUCAUACGUCGCCUUCCAACUUUCCACUCGUUAGUUGACAAUAUAACGCCACUUUCGGGAUUCUGGUAUCGUCCAUUUAAGUAACCACGCGUCCAACCCAGCGUAACUAUGCUUUCAUUAUCUGGCAUUCACACUGCGAACGCCAUAAGGUUCCUUAACGUUGACAUUAGACACCUUAAGCAGCACUGUUGUAUCUGUUCCAGGAGCUUGAUGAGACGAUGAUAGGUUGUCCAUUUGUCACCAGUUGCUCGUCUCGCAUUGAAUGAUGGGAAUGCAUCAAGUUUGCAAGCGACUGCUUCCAAUAUGGCGCCAUCUUUCAUGGCGGAUGAAAAGUGAUAUUACAUAAUUAACGACCAAUUCUGAUGUUUUGAUUUAGCAUGCCAAGUUUGGACAUAUACCGUAAUGAAUGUGUUUUGUAUUCUAGUUAUUAUUUGUGCUCAAAUAUUGAAGUCUGCGUGUGACGGUUCGAACAACUGAACUGAACUAAUCUGUACUCUUUAUUGGGCAUGUACGCAGUGCGCAUAUUUUUGCAAAUGUUUUUAUGCCGAUCCAAAAGAAUGUAAUAGUACAUGUAGUAUUGUGCUUAUAUGUACAUUGUCAUAAAUCAUGAUUACGCACUCAAGUCCUUAUUAGUACUAUUGUUACAAAUUAGAACAAUAUAUAGACUUUAGAAUUGUUUAGACCUAUACAUGUACAUCAAUUAAAACGUCAGCAAGUUUUAUUAAAAUUGCCCAAAAGCAUAUCGCGUAAAUUCCAGCAUGAGUUGCAAUGGACUGUUAAUGUUCCAAAGCUCCUCAAUUUCAGAAAUUUACGUCUGCCACUUUUUGACUAUUUUGCCAGCUUUUCGACACACGAUUUCGCACUAUCUUAAAAUUUUAGUUAGAGCAUUCCCAUGAGCCUUUGCAUCUAUUGUUCCAACCCGCAAGCGCCUGUCAAUUUCCUCCAGCAUUAUCAUUAUUAUCAAUGUGGAAGAGUCGGGCGUUGAGCAAUUUCAUUCUUGUCACGAGCGGGCUGAUAGAUGAUCUUAAUCUUCCUGCUAUAUUGAUGGUCAAACCAAAUCUCUCGGCCGCAGGAAAAUAGUAGGUUGGACCGACAUUGUGUCGAUGUUCUGUUGUCGAGUCGACAUAUCUCUUGAAACUCAACAUCCGCUUAGAGUGAAACGUGCCAAAAUCUUACCUUACCACAAAUGGUAUGGUUGCCUUUCAAAGAACCCAUGAGCUCUUUAAGAGCAGCUCCUCUUGCUCCACGUAAAGAUCUCCGUUCUUGUAUAUCCAUGAAGCUGUGAUCCCAUCGACACCCGGAGCUUUGCCCAAGAAAGUUUGUUUGAUGACUUUCGUUACCUCAGUUAGUGAAGAAGGUGGGUCUAGUGGUUUUAGAAUCAUUCUUUGUGGAAUAAUACUGUAUUUUGUGCAUUCUUAGACAUUGAAGAUGGUCGGUUUAGUAGGAUGUGCUCUACUCAUCGAUUUAAGAUUUCAGACAUGUCAGGAAGAUUAAAAGCCUUCCCAUCUACGCAAUUUACGUGUGGCGAACUGCCCUAACACCUUCGUAAGACGAUGUAAUGCUGUGCUUAUACUUCCCACCAUGCCUGUUGUACGGCUGGUGUAGCCUUUUUUGGACCACGUAUUUCCUAUUAAAAUACAUUGAUGACUUUUUGUCAGCUGAAAUUCUGUGAUUGACGCAGUUCUUGUGUGUUUGUGCAUCACUUCAAGUGGAUUUAUAACCGCUUUGUCAUUUUCAUUAAAACCGGUGAGGAUGUUUUACGUUUAUAAAACCUGAACAACAGUACUUGUGGAGUAGAUGGCAUCUUUGAACAGUUUACAGUCACACUUUCGAUAUCCAUGUCUCCUGUGUCGCCAGGAAAGACUGCUUGCUGGAUAGUUUUCUUUAGAUUGUCACUAAUACCCUCUACUUGGAUAGCAGGGACGUUGAAUUUCCGUGGUGCCUUAUUCGUCUUUGUCUUCAUCUUACUGGUAAUUAACCUGAAGAGACAUUUUGCUUCUUACCACUCUGUGGUCUGACCAGCAUUCAGUCCCACAGAUAGCUCUUGCCACCAUGAUAUAAAAAAAAAUGUCUAAAUGGUUUUAUAUAUACUUGUUAGGAAACUGGAAUGUGGUAUAGCCUGUAGGCUGUACUCACUGCAUUCCUCCAAAAAUAAGCUGUCCAUUGACUACUCCAUUCUAUGUUUGCAGAGCACAUGCACUUUUUCCGAACAUCCGAUGCACGUCUAACGUGCAUGCAUUGAAGGUCCCAAUCUUGGCCAUCGCUUAUUUUAUUAUAUUGAUUGACCAGAUAACUUAAACACAUUGGACAUCUUAAUUUAACAUAACUAUUUAGACCACCAAAACAGUUGGGAAAACCAAAAAGAUUACAAUUUUUCAAUUCCUCUUCAAAAGCAUAAAUAAUGCACAGUCCAUAAUGUAAAGGUUUAUAUUUUUCUUAAAGGCAGAACAUCACUUUACGAA
This 4881-nucleotide long non-coding RNA is filed under the name Paramuricea clavata. Lineage: Eukaryota; Metazoa; Cnidaria; Anthozoa; Malacalcyonacea; Plexauridae. The record is from RNAcentral.